UCGUUGGAAUAAUUAACAAGGAAGAAAGAGAUUGCAUAUCUAUCUAUCUGUGAUUAAGGAGAGGAAUUGAAUCUUUCUUUGCUCAGGGUCUCAUUUGUUCCAGCCAAGCGCUUGCUUGGCAAACCUCUCACCGUGCACACCAGAGAAAACUGCAUACGGCCGAUCACAAUGAGAGCAAGCGAGGAGAGGAAAGCGGAGGCCAUGGAGGCUGCGGUGGUGAGCGCAUCGGCCGGCGCCAUGGGCUCCCUGCUUCGGAAGCUUGGUGAGCUGCUCACAGCCGAGUACAAGUUGCUCAAAGAAGCCAAGGGGCCGAUCAUAUUCCUAAAAGCUGAGCUCGAGAGCAUGUACGUCUUCCUGAAGAAGAUCUCAGAUUCAGAGGAGCCUGACGAGCAAGACAAGUGCUGGGCCAAGGAGGUUCGCGAGCUGUCCUACGACAUCGAGGACAGCAUCAGCGAGUUCAUGCUCCGCGUGGAACGUGACUCCAGCAAGCCACGCGGAUUCAAAGGGUUCAUCACUAGGAGCACAAAGCUGCUGACAACAAUGAACACCAGGCAUGAGAUUGCAAAGGAGUUUGAAGGUCUUAAGAUCCGUGUCAAGGAGGCAAGUGAGCGGCGCACGAGGUACAGGAUUCAUGACACUGUCCCGAAGGAAAACAACACAGCCAUCGAUCCUCGCUUGUUGGCGCUCCAUGCGGAGACGACGAGCCUUGUCGGUAUCAAGGGACCAAGAGACCAGCUGAUUCAGUUGAUGGAUGGAGAGGGUGUGCCUGCGCUUCAGCUAAAGGUGCUCUCUAUUGUGGGCUUUGGAGGUCUCGGAAAGACUACACUUGCAAAUGAGAUUUAUCGCAAGCUUGAGGAGAAGUUCCAGUCUCGAGCUUUUGUUUCUGUGUCCCAAAAACCAAACAUUAGGAAGAUUCUGAGAAGAAUACUAUCUCAAGUUGGAUUUGUAGCUCCUAAGGACACCAACAUUGAGAUGUGGGAAGAGUCUGAAAUGUUCAUUGCACUGCAAAAUUUCCUAUUUGACAAGAGGUACCUCAUUGUAAUUGAUGACAUCUGGGAUGCUUCUGCAUGGAAUAUCAUCAAAUGUGCUCUCCCGGAGAACACGAAUGGUAGCAGAGUAAUACAGUAACAACUACCAGAAUUGAAGCUGUGGCUAGAGCUUGCUGUAAUAAUCACAUUGAAUGUGUUUACAAAAUGAAGACACUUAGCGACCAAGACUCAAGAAGCUUAUUCUUCAAAAGAAUAUUUGGUUCAGAGGAUAUGUGCCCUACAUAUUUGAACCAAGUGUCGUCAGAAAUUUUGAAAAAAUGUGGUGGCUUGCCACUUGCAAUUAUCACAACAUCUAGCCUGUUAGCCAAUCAGCCAAACAAACUUAAAAAGGAGCAGUGGGAGUAUGUACGGAAGUCUCUAGGCUCCAACUUUGAAAUGAGCCCAAGCUUGGAAGGCAUGAGACAGAUAUUGAAUCUCAGCUACAUAAAUCUUCCUCAUUAUCUGAAGACUUGCAUGCUAUAUCUUGGUAUUUAUCCAGAGGACUACACAAUUGACAAGAAUGAUUUGACUAGGCAAUGGGUUGCUGAAGGAUUCAUAUGUAAAGAUUGUGGGAUAGAUUUUAAUGAGCUUAUCAAUAGGAGUAUGAUUCAGCCUGUAGAUACAGACCAUAAUGGUGAUGUAAUGUCUUGCCGGGUACACGAUAUGAUGCUUGAUCUUAUAUUACAUAAGUCUAGAGAAGAGAAUAUCGUCACUAUAAUGGAUGAUAUGCAAGACAUAAUAGGACAUCAAGAUAAGAUUUGCCGGAUCUCUCUCAACCUGGAUGAUGCAACAAAUGAAAAGGCUGGCACUGCAGCGAAAUCUGUCCAGCUAUCCCAAAUACGUACACUACCAAGAUUUGGUACCUCCUCGCAGUUGCUCUCUUUUAAAUUGUUCAAGUAUCUCCGAGUUCUGGGAAUUGAAAUUUCAGGAUGGCCCAAGUCAGAUACAUCGCUAGACUUCACUGGAAUACGUUACCCGUUCCAGUUAAGAUUCUUAAAGAUCAUAGCAAGAGGUUUACCAUGGGGUGUUACCUAGUAAAAUUGGGGAUCUUCAGCAACUGGAAACAUUUGACAUAGGCAAUGAAAUAAAUUCAUAUGAAGGAACACAGCUACCAUCAGAUAUUUUUAAUUUGGGCCGGCUGUUGCAUCUGGCUGUUCCUAGUGCUGUAAUAUUGCCUGAUGGGAUAGGUAACAUGAAAUCCUUGCGUACUCUAGGCCAGUUUGAGUUGGGCAACUCAUUGGACAGUAUCAAGGGUCUGAGAGAACUGACCAAUCUGACAAAUCUUGAAAUCAGUUUCAACUACAGUAAAUCUGGAGAUGAGGCUGCUGCGAGAUGUAGGGAAGUUAUGCGCGCCCUUGAAAACCUUUGCAACCUCAAACAUCUACAUAUUGAUAGUCAUAAUAAACUUGUCAGAAGCUGCUUAGAUGUAUGGCGUUCGGUCCCACCCCAUCUCGAAAGCUUCCAUGCAAGGUACGAAUCCUGGUUCUCAAGGGUUCCAAAGUGCAUUGGCCAGCUCCAUAGCCUCUAUGACCUGCAUCUCUUUGUUAGGGAGGUGUUGGAGGAUGAUGUUGGAAUGCUUUCACAUCUGCCCUCCCUUAUCCACCUGGUUCUGAACAUCCGUAGAGCUCCUGAAAAUAAGAUCAUCGUCUCCGGAGGAAGUGGAUCAUUCCCUAUUCUGAAGCAUUUUACAAUCGUCUAUGGCAGGAUAUCUUACCUGACCUUUGAGGCAGGGGCAAUGCCCAAGCUCGAAAGGCUCGAGCUAUGUUUCAAUGCGAAGGGAUGCGACAAGUACGGAGCUGCACCUGCUGGCAUCGAGCACCUACCAGGCCUCAAAGAAAUCUCUGUGCCCAUUGGGGGGGGCUGGUCCUAAGGAAUCCAACCGAACUUCCAGACUUUUCAUUCCUGUUCUGCAAGUUGCGUCCAUCAAAUUAGCAUUUUUUAUGACCCCUGUACUUGACUACAUUCAUGAUAGCCCCAGUACUCACUACCGGACUUCCAGACUU
RNA transcript from Panicum virgatum (switchgrass), 3031 nucleotides. It is a transcript of the gene named disease resistance protein RGA5-like, with no coding region annotated. The transcript is spliced from 2 exons. Lineage: Eukaryota; Viridiplantae; Streptophyta; Magnoliopsida; Poales; Poaceae. The record is from RefSeq and is a predicted model, not a curated record.